UAAAUAGAGUCAGGGGACCUUUCCCUGUUUC
This 31-nucleotide non-coding RNA is filed under the name Mus musculus (house mouse). Lineage: Eukaryota; Metazoa; Chordata; Mammalia; Rodentia; Muridae. The record is from RNAcentral.